RNAcentral lists this ribosomal RNA (432 nucleotides) under uncultured bacterium. RNAcentral's name for it is "partial 16S ribosomal RNA". It matches the Rfam family "Bacterial small subunit ribosomal RNA", at positions 29 to 506 of the family's 1533-position model. The record is from RNAcentral.
AACGAACGCUGGCGGCAGGCCUAACACAUGCAAGUCGAGCGCGCCCUUCGGGGUGAGCGGCGGACGGGUGAGUAACGCGUGGGAACGUGCCCUUUUCUACGGAAUAGCCUCGGGAAACUGAGAGUAAUACCGUAUACGCCCUUUGGGGGAAAGAUUUAUCGGAAAAGGAUCGGCCCGCGUUGGAUUAGGUAGUUGGUGGGGUAAUGGCCUACCAAGCCGACGAUCCAUAGCUGGUUUGAGAGGAUGAUCAGCCACACUGGGACUGAGACACGGCCCAGACUCCCACGGGAGGCAGCAGUGGGGAAUCUUAGAAAAUGGGGGCAACCCUGAUCUAGCCAUGCCGGGUGAGUGAGGAAGGCUUUAGGGUUGUAAAGCUCUUUCAGCGGGGAAGAUAAUGACGGUACCAGCAGAAGAAGCCCCGGCUACCCCCGU